CUCUUUUGUUUUCAUUGAAUUGGAACUGCAGUUUAUCCUCUUUCUUCGUUUCUCGCCAAUCUGUGAUUUCGUUUAUGCUGUUGCUGCGUGUUUUUAUUUUGAUUUCUGUGUUUUAUUUGCUUCAAGUUUAGAAUCCGAUUGAGUUGGCUUUGCAUGAUGGUUUGUCCGUGUUUUCUCCUUAACAUUUUCUCAUCUUCGAACAACUAGGGUUUCCGAAUUCCGAUCAAUCGGCGCCGCGAAGAUGUUUGGCAGAGCGCCGCCGAAGAAGAGUGACAGCACCAGGUACUACGACAUCUUGGGUGUCUCUAAGACCGUUUCGCAAGAUGAUUUGAAGAAAGCUUACAAGAAAGCCGCCAUUAAGAAUCACCCUGAUAAGGGUGGUGAUCCUGAAAAGUUCAAGGAGUUGGCACAAGCUUAUGAGGUUCUGAAUGACCCUGAGAAGCGUGAGAUAUAUGAUAAUUAUGUACACCUAUGUUUUCUUCAUACCAAUUGGUCUGCUUUGCAUGAAACUUUUCUGUCCCGUUUGACAUAUUCUCAUCUUUCUUUGGUGGGAGUCCCUUUUCAUCAGGUGGUGGUGGUAGUCGAGGGCGGAGGCAGAGACGUGGAGAAGAUGUUGUUUACCCUCAAUUUUUCAUAAGUAAGAAGCACAUUCAUGUGUGACCAAAUAGAAGGUUGCAGUUGCAAAGCAGUACAUAGAAAAUCAUUAUAAGAAAGCUGAUGAAAGACCUGCAAGAGAGAAAGGACCGGUAUCGGUUAUAUCAGAAGGUAGCUUUAAUUAACCUGAGAAAUUUUGGGCAUGGAAGUUGCAUAAAUAGCUUCACCCUAGAGCUAGCUUUGCAAAUCCAAAAGGGUUUUCAAGAAAGAAUUUGUCAAAGUAUCUGAAUAGGGCAGCUUAUUGCAGAUUUGGCUGAGAUUGUUGUCAACUUUGUAAGAUCAAGUUUUGAUCUAGUAGUACAACUCUAUGUUUUGAUGAUUACAAGUUAACCUUUUGAUAUGAACAAUUGUGGUACUCUAACGUGUUUUUCUGAGUGUGCUAU
RNA transcript from Lotus japonicus, 1037 nucleotides. RefSeq lists it as uncharacterized. The transcript is spliced from 6 exons. The record is from RefSeq and is a predicted model, not a curated record. NCBI's taxonomy places the organism in Eukaryota, Viridiplantae, Streptophyta, Magnoliopsida, Fabales, Fabaceae.